GGCGCCGAGCUGGGAGCGCAGCGGACUCCCGGAAAGCAGCGGCAGCGGCGGGAAGGGGCUCCAAGGAGCAAAGAAUGGCGGCGAGGCGCUGCCGGGAGCAGCAGAAGGCAGCGAGGAGAAGCCGUGAAGCUGCAGAGCGGCGGAGUUGUCUUUUUUCCUUCGCAGGCUGGAAUCUUCCUUCCGCCUUGCUGUGCUGUGGGGAGCAGCUGGAGGCGAUUCUCUUGCAUGAGCGAGGGGUGCAGCCUGGUUCCACCCGGCCCUGAGCUCACGGAAGGGCUGGCUGCCCGCAGGGAAGGAGCUCUGCUUGAGGUCUGCUCCUGGGUGGGCUUUUGUGUGCCCUGUUCCUCAGGAAGGGGUAAGCAGUGCUGGGGUUAUUUGCUAGAUGGAGUGCGUUUGUGUUUCUUGGCUUCCUGAAAGCUGUGUCUGUCUUUUUCACUGCCGGCUGGAGAGACUCGGGGGAGAAAGCGUUGUGCUUGAUGGCACGGUUUCCUUGGGCAAAGGAUGCUUUGGCAGCAGAGGUUUGCUGUCAGGAGGCAUGAAAGCACUGAAGCCAAUGCUGCCGUGCCCUGGGCCCAGAGACAUCAGCUCCCAGCACGUCCCUGGCGGUGGAUGUGUGCAAGCUCUGUGUCUGCCAGUGGUUGCUGCAAAGGCUUUGUGGUCAGCUGUGCGUGGCUGUUUUGCUCUUGAGGGCGUGGGAACAGAGGGCAACACGCUGAUGGGAGUGAUGGUGUCCUGCUCAGCAAAGGAUGUGCUGGGUGGCAGAAGAGGAUUCUUGGCCGAGCGUGGAAAAUCUCUCUGCUCCUUCCUGAAGGACGCAAUCUUCCACUUGGAAAGGGCCUCCCAAGGAUCCCUGGUAUCCUCUGAGAGCUCUGAGCUGCCGCACCAAUUUGAAGCUGACUUCAUUUUUGGUCUUCCCCUUCAGCAGAAAAGCUCAGACAGCCGAGCCAAGCGAGACGCUGGAUUUCCUUUGGCAUCAAGGAAAGCAUCGUGAGAUGUUCUGAUGCCCUCUCACAAUUCUUUCUCCCUCCGCCAGCACCAGAGCUGGCGUCCAAAGACGCAAUGACACUGCCACAGGCAUUGUGGAGAUUUGUAUGGGAUAGGCCCAUGGUAAGGCUUUAUUGACAGAGGGAGGGACAAUGAAGAUUGGAUGUCAGGGAGAAGGUCUUUCCAGAGACGGUGGUGAGAUGCUGGAAGCGGAUGCCCAGAGAGCUUGUGGACGCCGCGUCCGUGGCAGUGUUGAAGGCCAGGUUGGAUUGGGCACUCGGCAGCCUAGUCUAGGAUUAGAUAUGAUGCAGAUGGGAUUCAAGCAUCUGUUUUGCAGCCAGCUCGAGUGGAGCUCUUGGAGCUCGUGGGCGCCCCAUGCCCGCAUCAGCGUGGGUAGUGUGUGCCCUUCCUGCGCGGUGGGGCUUUGCUGUUUGGAGGCUGACGCUGAGGAGACUGUGUUUCUUCGUUUAUCGGUGGCAGCAAUCCAGCUCUGUCAGCAGAGGACUCCUGCGGCUGGCUGGCCUCAGCCUGAGAUGUUGAUGCUUCCAUCUCCUCAGGUUCUUUCUGCCUGCUCUUCUUAGCCCUGCGCCUGAGAAGUCUGACUGAGUCGCAUGCCAGAAGUGGAAGCCGGGAUGGAGUGCCUUGCGAUGCCUGCGACGGGCUGGACUGAGCCCUUGAGGAAGGUCUGGAAUCGUUGCUGAAAGAUUCGUUGGCUUUGGGCAACUUCAGCACCGCAGCCACACGAUGGGCUUUUUCCGCUUCCCGUUCUUCCUCACGGAAGCUCACGUGUUUGGUUCCCGGGGCUCGGCCCAGGUCUUCUUGGCUGUCUGUUUCUGCCUGGCCCUGCAGCUGGCAGGUCAGCGGCUGCUUUUGGUCUUCAGGCACUCCAGGGAUGGCUGGCAGCAGACUGAAAGGACAGAGCAGGAGGGGUCCGCCUGAGUGGGUGAUGGUUUUGGGGCCGCGUCCUGCAAGCCGGAGCCAGGACCCUUGGCUGCAACGCAGCCUUCCCCACAGACAGCUCACCGGCUGCCCCGUGGCUCUCCCCCGUGGGAUCCAGAGAGGGGCCAGCCCUGUGAGCUGGGGGGCUCCUGGCGUCCCCAUCCCAGCACUGUUGGGCAGCCAGAAACAGGGACCCUUUGGGGCUAGGGAAUGGGCUCUCAUUGGCUCAGUCAAUCACCCCCAUGCACAUGCCAAGCCAGAGCCUCCAGCCUCACCUGGACGUAGAGCUCUCCUUGCGCAGUAAGCUCCUUAUCCUUCGGAGUUUUCCUCCAUCUAGACUGUCCGAGCUCAAGCGUUUGAUGAAGGUUGGCUUGCCAGCAAAUCUCACUGGGAUUGGGAAGGCAGAGGAGACUUACCGUCAACCCUUUGGCUCACUCACCAGGGGCGCUCAGGCCUGUUCCCAGAACAUGCGAGAGGGCCGCUCUGCUCCCCCCACUGCUGACAUCUGUGCCGCCCGCGGACCCUCCCUGAAACCAUCUCUGGCCCCACUUCUCCUCUCUGCCAUCUUGGGACUCUCUUUUGGGAGUGCAUUAGUGACGGUGGCUUUGGGAAAGCGGAGCUGGGUGGUGACGAUGAGCUGACAGGGUGACUUUUGGGGACCAUAUCCUUUUGUUGGGGGAGGGCGGGGCCUAAGGUGCCGAGGUGCUCCUGCCAUAGCCAGGGAUGGGGGCACGUCACAGCCAGCGCCUUGGUUUUGGAGAGGCCAACAAUUCCUCGUGGGAAGAGGCCGUGCUGAGCUGGCGUGAAGCUUUGACGGAUGCCUCCUGAGGACCUGCGGGAUAUCCCAGGUGGUGGUUUGGGUACAAACUCCAUUUGAAACCUGUACGCGAGGAGACGACAGUGAGCGGUGGGACGCAGCGCUCCACCAAUCCUUGUUGCUCUCUCUGAUUGCCUGCUGACAGGCCCAUUUUCAUGCUGCAUGAUGGCCACUGCUUUCUAAAGGCUUCAGCAGGGCCAGGCUGAGAGCAACCUGAUGUGGCGCUUCUCAAGGAAGUCGUAAUAGAAUUUCAUGUGGAAGGUCAGUCCAUCGAUGUGGAGCACUCCAAUGUCCUUGAAGACAACGGCAACGUUCUCCCCAUUCUUCAGGCAGCCAGAGAGCAGGGACACGGUGCUUUGGAUGCAAGCCUGCGCUGUCUGCCAGGUCACAGAGGCAGCUGCGGCCACCUCGCUGCUCUUGAGCGGCUCCAGCUUCCUAUGGGCUGAAAAAUGGGAGGGACGGAGUUGAUGAUACGGGACUCCCUGCGGGGCUUGAGGUGGUGCACGGCUAUGAGGUUUCCAGACAAGUGAAAGACGGGCCACCGCAGAGUCACGGUCCCGUCCUCAGUCCUGAUGUCUCUGGAGAUGGUGUCAAAGGAUCCGAAGGUGGGAAUCCAGACCCCCUACAAGUGGUAGAGAAAGGAAGGGCGGCAGGGUUAUGGGCCGGCUGGCUGGAGGAAGAGCCCAUGUAGCGGUCCAAGGCAGGGACGGAGCUCAGGAGCCCUCUCUCGCUGUUCAGAGGCACAAGCCAGGGCAUCGGGAAUGGCUUUGGGAAGGGGCUGCACAGUCCUCUCCUUCCCCUCACCCUCCCAAAUGCAGCACAGCAGUCAGGGCAGAAGCAGCCUGAUGGGAUCCAGAGGCUUCCCGCGAGCGGGAUCAGCCCUGAGACAGGACAGCGCCCAGCACAAGUGAUCCUGCGGGAUUUGCAGGAAGCCCAUGGCAUGCCCAGUAGAGACACGUGGGGAGGUGCUCUUGUACGUAGGCGGCCACCGCAUCCCAGACGGCAACUCGCUCUGGAGGGCAAAGGAAAAGCAGGUCACACUCUGCACCUGCCGCUUCCCGGCAGCCCUCCCGCUGCCAGGCGGGAGUGAGGUGGCAGAUGGAA
Long non-coding RNA from Gallus gallus (chicken), 3844 nucleotides. RefSeq lists it as uncharacterized. The transcript is spliced from 6 exons. NCBI's taxonomy places the organism in Eukaryota, Metazoa, Chordata, Aves, Galliformes, Phasianidae. The record is from RefSeq and is a predicted model, not a curated record.